RNAcentral lists this ribosomal RNA (2906 nucleotides) under Enterobacter hormaechei. Its description in RNAcentral is "23S ribosomal RNA". It matches the Rfam family "Bacterial large subunit ribosomal RNA". Lineage: Bacteria; Pseudomonadati; Pseudomonadota; Gammaproteobacteria; Enterobacterales; Enterobacteriaceae. The record is from RNAcentral.
GGUUAAGCGACUAAGCGUACACGGUGGAUGCCCUGGCAGUCAGAGGCGAUGAAGGACGUGCUAAUCUGCGAAAAGCGCCGGCGAGGUGAUAUGAACCUUUGACCCGGCGAUGUCCGAAUGGGGAAACCCAGUGCAAUCCGUUGCACUAUCGUUAACUGAAUACAUAGGUUAACGAGGCGAACCGGGGGAACUGAAACAUCUAAGUACCCCGAGGAAAAGAAAUCAACCGAGAUUCCCCCAGUAGCGGCGAGCGAACGGGGAGCAGCCCGGAGUCUGAAUCAGCUUGUGUGUUAGUGGAACGGUCUGGAAAGUCCGACGGUACAGGGUGAUAGUCCCGUACACGAAAGCACACUUGCUGUGAACUCGAAGAGUAGGGCGGGACACGUGGUAUCCUGUCUGAAUAUGGGGGGACCAUCCUCCAAGGCUAAAUACUCCUGACUGACCGAUAGUGAACCAGUACCGUGAGGGAAAGGCGAAAAGAACCCCGGCGAGGGGAGUGAAAAAGAACCUGAAACCGUGUACGUACAAGCAGUGGGAGCCUCUUUAUGGGGUGACUGCGUACCUUUUGUAUAAUGGGUCAGCGACUUAUAUUCUGUAGCAAGGUUAACCGUAUAGGGGAGCCGAAGGGAAACCGAGUCUUAACUGGGCGUUAAGUUGCAGGGUAUAGACCCGAAACCCGGUGAUCUAGCCAUGGGCAGGUUGAAGGUUGGGUAACACUAACUGGAGGACCGAACCGACUAAUGUUGAAAAAUUAGCGGAUGACCUGUGGCUGGGGGUGAAAGGCCAAUCAAACCGGGAGAUAGCUGGUUCUCCCCGAAAGCUAUUUAGGUAGCGCCUCGUGAAUUCAUCUUCGGGGGUAGAGCACUGUUUCGGCUAGGGGGCCAUCCCGGCUUACCAACCCGAUGCAAACUACGAAUACCGAAGAAUGUUAUCACGGGAGACACACGGCGGGUGCUAACGUCCGUCGUGAAGAGGGAAACAACCCAGACCGCCAGCUAAGGUCCCAAAGUCAUGGUUAAGUGGGAAACGAUGUGGGAAGGCACAGACAGCCAGGAUGUUGGCUUAGAAGCAGCCAUCAUUUAAAGAAAGCGUAAUAGCUCACUGGUCGAGUCGGCCUGCGCGGAAGAUGUAACGGGGCUAAACCAUGCACCGAAGCUGCGGCAGCGACGCUUAGGCGUUGUUGGGUAGGGGAGCGUUCUGUAAGCCGUUGAAGGUGUCCUGUGAGGGGUGCUGGAGGUAUCAGAAGUGCGAAUGCUGACAUAAGUAACGAUAAAGCGGGUGAAAAGCCCGCUCGCCGGAAGACCAAGGGUUCCUGUCCAACGUUAAUCGGGGCAGGGUGAGUCGACCCCUAAGGCGAGGCCGAAAGGCGUAGUCGAUGGGAAACAGGUUAAUAUUCCUGUACUUGGUGUUACUGCGAAGGGGGGACGGAGAAGGCUAUGUCAGCCGGGCGACGGUUGUCCCGGUUUAAGCAUGUAGGCGGAGGUUCCAGGUAAAUCCGGUACCUUAUUAACGCUGAGGUGUGAUGACGAGGCACUACGGUGCUGAAGUGAUAAAUGCCCUGCUUCCAGGAAAAGCCUCUAAGCAUCAGGUAACACGAAAUCGUACCCCAAACCGACACAGGUGGUCAGGUAGAGAAUACCAAGGCGCUUGAGAGAACUCGGGUGAAGGAACUAGGCAAAAUGGUGCCGUAACUUCGGGAGAAGGCACGCUGAUAUGUAGGUGAAGCCCCUGCGGGCGGAGCUGAAAUCAGUCGAAGAUACCAGCUGGCUGCAACUGUUUAUUAAAAACACAGCACUGUGCAAACACGAAAGUGGACGUAUACGGUGUGACGCCUGCCCGGUGCCGGAAGGUUAAUUGAUGGGGUUAGCGGCAACGCGAAGCUCUUGAUCGAAGCCCCGGUAAACGGCGGCCGUAACUAUAACGGUCCUAAGGUAGCGAAAUUCCUUGUCGGGUAAGUUCCGACCUGCACGAAUGGCGUAAUGAUGGCCAGGCUGUCUCCACCCGAGACUCAGUGAAAUUGAACUCGCUGUGAAGAUGCAGUGUACCCGCGGCAAGACGGAAAGACCCCGUGAACCUUUACUAUAGCUUGACACUGAACACUGGUCCUUGAUGUGUAGGAUAGGUGGGAGGCUUUGAAGCGUGGACGCCAGUCUGCGUGGAGCCAACCUUGAAAUACCACCCUUUAAUGGCUGGUGUUCUAACGUAGACCCGUAAUCCGGGUUGCGGACAGUGUCUGGUGGGUAGUUUGACUGGGGCGGUCUCCUCCCAAAGAGUAACGGAGGAGCACGAAGGUUGGCUAAUCCUGGUCGGACAUCAGGAGGUUAGUGCAAUGGCAUAAGCCAGCUUGACUGCGAGCGUGACGGCGCGAGCAGGUGCGAAAGCAGGUCAUAGUGAUCCGGUGGUUCUGAAUGGAAGGGCCAUCGCUCAACGGAUAAAAGGUACUCCGGGGAUAACAGGCUGAUACCGCCCAAGAGUUCAUAUCGACGGCGGUGUUUGGCACCUCGAUGUCGGCUCAUCACAUCCUGGGGCUGAAGUAGGUCCCAAGGGUAUGGCUGUUCGCCAUUUAAAGUGGUACGCGAGCUGGGUUUAGAACGUCGUGAGACAGUUCGGUCCCUAUCUGCCGUGGGCGCUGGAGAAUUGAGGGGGGCUGCUCCUAGUACGAGAGGACCGGAGUGGACGCAUCACUGGUGUUCGGGUUGUCAUGCCAAUGGCACUGCCCGGUAGCUAAAUGCGGAAGAGAUAAGUGCUGAAAGCAUCUAAGCACGAAACUUGCCCCGAGAUGAGUUCUCCCUGAGACUUUAAGUCUCCUGAAGGAACGUUGAAGACGACGACGUUGAUAGGUCGGGUGUGUAAGCGCAGCGAUGCGUUGAGCUAACCGAUACUAAUGAACCGUGAGGCUUAACCUU